ACAUAUAUUUAUUUAAGUUAAUGGUGGAUGCUUAGGCAAUUUGAGCCGAGGAAGGACGUAUGUCCGAGUACGAUAUCGUCGGUGAGCCCUCCAACAGGCAUUAUUUAACCGGCGGUUUCCGAAUGGGGUAACCCACUUCGUUGUAAAACGAGGAGUCUAUAUCUAGAAGAUAUAGAAGGGAACCUGGUGAACUGAAACAUCUAAGUAAUCAGAGGAAAAGAAAAAAAAUUGAUUCCGUCAGUAGCGGCGAGUGAAAGCGGAAGAGCCUAAACCCGGCCUUCGGGCUGGGGGUUGCGGGACUCGACAUAAUAAAAGUUUGCGAUAGAGGAAUAUUUUGGAAAAAUUAUCCAUAGAAGGUGAUAGACCUGUACUUAAAAUUGUGAACUUUUUGGUUGAGCACCCAAGUACUACGGGACACGGAAAACCCUGUAGGAAGCUGGGGCGGUCAUGCUCCAAGGCUAAAUACUCAAAUUGACCGAUAGUGAACUAGUACCGUGAGGGAAAAGUGAAAAGUCCCCCGGCGAGGGGAGUGAAAUAGAACCUGAAACCAUUGACUAACAAGCAGACAGAGCUCCGAUUUAAUCGGAGUAAUGUCGUGCCUAUUGAAGAAUGAGCCAGCGAGUUUCCGAUUAACUGCUUUAAGGUUAACUAUGUAAAACUUAGGAAGCCAUAGUGAAAGCGAGCCUGAAUAGGGCGACAAAAUGUAGUAAUCGGAGGACCCGAAACGAGGUGAGCUAACCAUGGGCAGGGUGAAUUUCGAUGACCAUCGAGAGGAGGCCCGAACCCGUCGUCGGUGAAAUGACGUGGGAUGAUCUGUGGUUAGAGGUUAUAUGCCUAUCGAACUUCGAGAUAGCUGGUUCUCCCCGAAAUAUAUUUAGGUAUAGCCUUUUCAUCAUAAAGUAACUGGGGUAGAGCUACUGGAUGGUCCCGAGAGCCGCAAGGCAAUCGGGAUCAACCAAACUCCGAAUACAGAAUUACUUGAUGAGAGGAGUCAGACUCGCCUGGAUAAGCAGGUGUGGUCUAAAGGGAUACAGCCCAGAUUUCCAUCUAAGGUCUCCAAAUAUCUAUUUAGUGGCAAAGGAAGUGAAAUUUCAAAUACAGACGGGAGGUUGGCUCAGAAGCAGCCAUCCUUUAAAGAGUGCGUAACAGCUCACCGUAAUAUUUCCGGCUUUGCCGGGAAUGAGAUUUUGCGCUUAAAAUGAUUCGAGUCUAAACAGAUUACCGAAGAUGAAAAUGCUUGUCCUUUGGACAAGAGUUUUUAGAUUACAGAUUUUAGAAUUUAGAUUUUAGAUUAAUGCAAUUAUCUUAAAUCUUAAAUCUACUAUUUAGUGUCUAGAGUCUCUCGUCUAGAGGACGAGUGUGGUAGGGGAGCUUUCUAUUAUCAGCGAAGUCGAGCUGUAAGGCGAGAUGGAGAUAAUAGAAGUGAGAAUGCUGGCAUGAGUAGCGAUUCUCCCGAUGAAAAUUCGGGAUGCCGAAAAUCCAAGGUUUCCUCAGCAACGUAAAUCGACUGAGGGUUAAUCGGAACUAAGUCCCGUACCGAAACGGUCGGGAUCGAUGUAUAAGCCGUUAAAAUUCGGCUAUUUUUUUAUACGCGUUAAUAACUGGUGAAUGACGAGAUUUGAUAUUCUAUAUUUUGCCUUUAAAAAGCAGAAUUUAAGUUACGAGUCUUAAAACUUAACUGAUUUAGGGCGAGUAACGAUGAUUCAACUUUGUCCAACGAUGAAGUUGAACUUGGGAAAUUUAAGUCUCCGGGAAAAGUUCAUUCAGUGAGUUUAUAAUAAAACCGUACCGCAAACCGACACAGGUGGAUUGGUCGAGAAGACUAAGGCUAGCGAGUAAUGAUGGUUCAAGGAACUCGGCAAAAAAGCUGAGCGUAAGAUUUCGAGAUGCUCUUCCCCCGCUUAGCGGGGGAUACAACAAAUGAUUUUCAACUAACUGUUUAACUAAAACACAGGUCCCUGCAAACCCAAAUAGGGGAGGUAUAGGGGCCGAGGCCUGUCCAGUGCCGGUAAGUUAAUCACUUCGGGUGAAGACCGAUUUCGAAAGAUAUUGGUCCAGCUUGGGGUGCAAGCUCCGGUGAACGACAGCUCUAACCCUGAGAGUUCUAAGGUAGCGUAAUCCCUUGCCGGGUAAGUUCCGGCCCGCAUGAA
Candidatus Roizmanbacteria bacterium is the source of this 2150-nucleotide non-coding RNA. NCBI's taxonomy places the organism in Bacteria, Candidatus Roizmaniibacteriota. The record is from Rfam.